This 548-nucleotide ribosomal RNA is filed under the name uncultured bacterium. RNAcentral's name for it is "bacterial SSU rRNA". It matches the Rfam family "Bacterial small subunit ribosomal RNA", at positions 356 to 896 of the family's 1533-position model. The record is from RNAcentral.
GGGGAACAUUGGACAAUGGGCGAAAGCCUGAUCCAGCCAUGCCGCGUGUGUGAAGAAGGCCUUUUGGUUGUAAAGCACUUUAAGUGGGGAGGAAAAGCUUGUGGUUAAUACCCAUAAGCCCUGACGUUACCCACAGAAUAAGCACCGGCUAACUCUGUGCCAGCAGCCGCGGUAAUACAGAGGGUGCAAGCGUUAAUCGGAAUUACUGGGCGUAAAGCGCGCGUAGGUGGUUAUUUAAGUCAGAUGUGAAAGCCCCGGGCUUAACCUGGGAACUGCAUCUGAUACUGGAUAACUAGAGUAGGUGAGAGGGGAGUAGAACUCCAGGUGUAGCGGUGAAAUGCGUAGAGAUCUGGAGGAAUACCGAUGGCGAAGGCAGCUCCCUGGCAUCAUACUGACACUGAGGUGCGAAAGCGUGGGUAGCAAACAGGAUUAGAUACCCUGGUAGUCCACGCCGUAAACGAUGUCUACCAGUCGUUGGGUCUUUUAAAGACUUAGUGACGCAGUUAACGCAAUAAGUAGACCGCCUGGGGAGUACGGCCGCAAGGUUA